UACGUAGGAGGCAAGCGUUGUCCGGAAUUACUGGGCGUAAAGCGCGUGUAGGUGGUGGGACAAGUCUGCUGUGAAAGCGCCUGGCUUAACCGGGCGAGGUCGGCGGAAACUGUCCGACUAGAGGACGGUAGAGGGGGGUGGAAUUCCCGGUGUAGUGGUGAAAUGCGUAGAGAUCGGGAGGAACACCUGUGGCGAAGGCGGCCCCCUGGCCGGCCCUGACACUGAGACGCGAAAGCGUGGGGAGCGAACAGG
This 252-nucleotide ribosomal RNA is filed under the name uncultured bacterium. Its description in RNAcentral is "partial 16S ribosomal RNA". It matches the Rfam family "Bacterial small subunit ribosomal RNA", at positions 524 to 776 of the family's 1533-position model. The record is from RNAcentral.